UACGUAGGGGGCAAGCGUUGUCCGGGAUUAUUGGGCGUAAAGAGCGUGUAGGCGGCCAGGUAGGUCUGCUGUGAAAACUCGAGGCUUAACCUCGAGCUGUCGGCGGAAACCAUCUGGCUAGAGUCCGGAAGAGGAGAAUGGAAUUCCCGGUGUAGCGGUGAAAUGCGUAGAUAUCUGGAGGAACACCGGUGGCGAAGGCGGCGUCCUGGACCAACACUGACACUGAGGAGCGAAAGCCAGGGGAGCAAACGGG
This 253-nucleotide ribosomal RNA is filed under the name uncultured bacterium. RNAcentral's name for it is "partial 16S ribosomal RNA". It matches the Rfam family "Bacterial small subunit ribosomal RNA", at positions 524 to 776 of the family's 1533-position model. The record is from RNAcentral.